UCUAAUCAGGUGGGUGUGGGAAGCUGUCUGGUGAGAGCAGAAACGGGCUGUCUUGCAGUAGUGAACGGAGAGCUCCAUUCCACUUGGAAAGACAAUACAUAAUAUCUGCAUAACUAGCUGAAUUACUGUAUCUUUAAAUAAAUGUCGAACCUAGCUCUAAAACCGGCGGGCAGGAGAAAUGGAAGUGCAUACGUUGAUCGAGACAAACCGGCCCAGAUUCGUUAUAGCAACAUUUCUGCCGCGAAAGCUGUUGCCGACGCUAUCAGAACCAGCCUCGGUCCAAAAGGCAUGGACAAAAUGAUACAGGAUGGGAAAGGUGAUGUCACCAUUACCAACGACGGAGCCACCAUCCUCAAGCAGAUGCAGGUCUUGCACCCAGCUGCUAAAAUGGUGGGUCGGUGUCAUGAGUUUGCAUUUGUGUCUGAGCACGCAGUGUUUCAUUUUUGUU
This is a long non-coding RNA of Anguilla rostrata (American eel), 448 nucleotides long. RefSeq lists it as uncharacterized. NCBI's taxonomy places the organism in Eukaryota, Metazoa, Chordata, Actinopteri, Anguilliformes, Anguillidae. The record is from RefSeq and is a predicted model, not a curated record. The transcript is spliced from 3 exons.